This 490-nucleotide ribosomal RNA is filed under the name uncultured bacterium. RNAcentral's name for it is "bacterial SSU rRNA". It matches the Rfam family "Bacterial small subunit ribosomal RNA", at positions 29 to 513 of the family's 1533-position model. The record is from RNAcentral.
AACGAACGCUGGCGGCGCGCCUAAUACAUGCAAGUCGAACGAGAAGCUGUAGCAAUACAGUUGUACAGUGGCGAACGGGUGAGGAAUACAUGGGUGACCUACCCUCGAGUGGGGAAUAACCAGCCGAAAGGUUGGCUAAUACCGCGUACGCUUCCCAGUCUACGGGUUGGGAAGGAAAGCGAUGCCGUGGGUAUCGCGCUCAAGGUUGGGCUCAUGUCCUAUCAGCUUGNGGUGGGGUAACGGCUCACCAAGGCAACGACGGGUAGCUGGUCUGAGAGGACGAUCAGCCACACUGGCACUGCGACACGGGCCAGACUCCUACGGGAGGCAGCAGUAAGGAAUAUUGCGCAAUGGGCGAAAGCCUGACGCAGCGACGCCGCGUGGGGGAUGAAGGUCUUCGGAUUGUAAACCCCUUUCGGGAGGGAAGAUGGAACGAGCAAUCGUUCGGACGGUACCUCCAGAAGCAGCCACGGCUAACUUCGUGCCAGCA